Molecule: ribosomal RNA, 253 nt
Filed under: uncultured bacterium
Lineage: Bacteria
Description: partial 16S ribosomal RNA
Rfam family: Bacterial small subunit ribosomal RNA
Source: RNAcentral
UACGUAGGGCGCAAGCGUUAUCCGGAAUUAUUGGGCGUAAAGAGCUCGUAGGCGGUUUGUCGCGUCUGCCGUGAAAGUCCGGGGCUCAACUCCGGAUCUGCGGUGGGUACGGGCAGACUAGAGUGAUGUAGGGGAGACUGGAAUUCCUGGUGUAGCGGUGAAAUGCGCAGAUAUCAGGAGGAACACCGGUGGCGAAGGCGGAUCUCUGGGCAGUAACUGACGCUGAGGAGCGAAAGCGUGGGGAGCAAACAGG